RNAcentral lists this ribosomal RNA (676 nucleotides) under uncultured bacterium. RNAcentral's name for it is "bacterial SSU rRNA". It matches the Rfam family "Bacterial small subunit ribosomal RNA", at positions 55 to 723 of the family's 1533-position model. The record is from RNAcentral.
AUGCAAGUCGAGCGGGGGAGGUUGCUUCGGUAACUGACCUANCNNCNGACGGGUGAGUAAUACUUAGGAAUCUGCCUAUUAAUGGGGGACAACAUCUCGAAAGGGAUGCUAAUACCGCAUACGCCCUACGGGGGAAAGCAGGGGAUCACUUGUGACCUUGCGUUAAUAGAUGAGCCUAAGUCGGAUUAGCUAGUUGGUGGGGUAAAGGCCUACCAAGGCGACGAUCUGUAGCGGGUCUGAGAGGAUGAUCCGCCACACUGGGACUGAGACACGGCCCAGACUCCUACGGGAGGCAGCAGUGGGGAAUAUUGGACAAUGGGGGGAACCCUGAUCCAGCCAUGCCGCGUGUGUGAAGAAGGCCUUAUGGUUGUAAAGCACUUUAAGCGAGGAGGAGGCUCUUUUGGUUAAUACCCAAGAUGAGUGGACGUUACACGCAGAGUAAGCACCGGCUAACUCUGUGCCAGCAGCCGCGGUAAUACAGAGGGUGCGAGCGUUAAUCGGAUUUACUGGGCGUAAAGCGUGCGUAGGCGGCUUUUUAAGUCGGAUGUGAAAUCCCCGAGCUUAACUUGGGAAUUGCAUUCGAUACUGGGAAGCUAGAGUAUGGGAGAGGAUGGUAGAAUUCCAGGUGUAGCGGUGAAAUGCGUAGAGAUCUGGAGGAAUAACGAUGGCGAAGGCA